Long non-coding RNA from Lacerta agilis (Sand lizard), 819 nucleotides. RefSeq lists it as uncharacterized. The transcript is spliced from 2 exons. The record is from RefSeq and is a predicted model, not a curated record. NCBI's taxonomy places the organism in Eukaryota, Metazoa, Chordata, Lepidosauria, Squamata, Lacertidae.
ACCUUGGAAAGUGAGUAAGUGAAACAGAAUAUGGGUUUUAAAAAUUACAGUUGAAUGCAAUGUUAGACAACGGCUAGCAAACCAACAUAUUAUGUAUUUCCUAUGUAUGCUAGCUUUUUAUUUUCCUGAACUUCUUAAUUAGCUUAAUUAAUAUCUUGUACCACUGUUGAAAAUCCUGUCCAGCACAGGGCUGACUUUAGAACAGGUCUCCCAUUGAGAAUAAUUGUUUAAAACAAAAAGUGGCGGGGAGGGGAAGGCAACCUAAAUUAUACCAACUUAGCCACUUUUGAAGUGGUAAGUGCUGCAUUAUUACAAAAGCUGCUUUUCUUUGCCUUUGUUCUGUCAUUACCCAGGAUGAGAUUGUUGUUUUAUAAACAGUGUGCAGUACUGGGUGCCAGAUGAAAGCAUAGUCAGGAGAUUAGAUUACAUUAUAAAGGAAAAGACACAGGAAGAUGCAUUGAGAAUGGAUCUGCUGCUAACCACCAGAUGUUGCAGAAAGACCCUGAUGGAUGUGACAACCUCAGCCUUAAUGUGGUAGUGAUGAGAGAGGAUACAUAACUUGUCAGCUGUUGGGAGAACCAGAGUUCACUUCUCUUUCAGUAGAGCAAGAUGUGCAUUGCUUUACACUCCAUCAUGUAGUUUGAAAAGGAGGAAACGAAGGCAAGAUGCAAUAAUCUACAGUCUUCUGGUCUUUUCAUUUUAGCUGAUUAAAUGUGGCCUGAGGGUUUCAAAUAUAAUGACCUUUAAAUCAUUGCACAUGGUAGAACUGACUGAAAUACAUUGCUUCAUACUGUUGCAAUGGUUGUGAUUGGCAGAAUA